Molecule: ribosomal RNA, 301 nt
Filed under: uncultured bacterium
Lineage: Bacteria
Description: partial 16S ribosomal RNA
Rfam family: Bacterial small subunit ribosomal RNA
Source: RNAcentral
CAGUCGCCGCGGGAAUACGUAGGUGGCAAGCGUUGUCCGGAAUUAUUGGGCGUAAAGCGCGCGCAGGCGGCCUCUUAAGUCUGAUGUGAAAGCCCCCGGCUCAACCGGGGAGGGCCAUUGGAAACUGGGAGGCUUGAGUAUAGGAGAGAAGAGUGGAAUUCCACGUGUAGCGGUGAAAUGCGUAGAGAUGUGGAGGAACACCAGUGGCGAAGGCGACUCUUUGGCCUAUAACUGACGCUGAGGCGCGAAAGCGUGGGGAGCAAACAGGAUUAGAUACCCCCGUAGUCCCUGUCUCUUAUAC